RNAcentral lists this ribosomal RNA (2969 nucleotides) under Platyarthrus schoblii. RNAcentral's name for it is "18S ribosomal RNA". It matches the Rfam family "Eukaryotic small subunit ribosomal RNA". Lineage: Eukaryota; Metazoa; Arthropoda; Malacostraca; Isopoda; Platyarthridae. The record is from RNAcentral.
AACCUGGUUGAUCCUGCCAGUAGUCAUAUGCUUGUCUCAAAGAUUAAGCCAUGCAUGUCUCAGUACUUGCCGACCUAAGGCGAAACCGCGAAUGGCUCAUUAAAUCAGUCAUGAUUUAUGGGAUGUUGUCAAUCCUUACUCGGAUAACUGUGGUAAUUCUAGAGCUAAUACGUGCAACUAGUCUCCGACCCCGGCCCUCGCGGUCGGGGGAAGGGCGCAUUUGUUAGACCAAAAACCGGGUGGACAGUCGGGGCAAUCUCAGCCGCUUCGCGCGGCUGCAGCAUUCGUCCUCGUCCAUUCCUCUACGGUUACGUGGUGACUCUGGAUAACUACAGCCGAGCGCUGAGGUCUUAGUACCGGCGCCGUAUCCUUCAAGUGUCUGCCUUAUCAGCUCUCGAUUGUAGGUUAUUCGCCUACAAUGGCUGUAACGGGUAACGGGGAAUCAGGGUUCGAUUCCGGAGAGGGAGCCUGAGAAACGGCUACCACAUCUAAGGAAGGCAGCAGGCACGCAAAUUACCCAAUCCCGGCUCGGGGAGGUAGUGACGAAAAAUAACGAUGCGGGACUCUUCCGAGGCCUCGCAAUCGGAAUGAGUCCAAUUUAAAAACUUGGACGAGGAUCCAUUGGAGGGCAAGUCUGGUGCCAGCAGCCGCGGUAAUUCCAGCUCCAAUAGCGUAUAUUAAAGUUGCUGCGGUUAAAAAGCUCGUAGUUGGAUUUCUGAUGCGGACCGGGAGCCCAUCCAAGGCGCGCCCUCGUCUUUAGCGAGCGGCGUUCCGUGGGGUUCUUCCCGUGUCUCGGCAGCGGCCGAAGAGGGUCGUUGGCGACUCUUUCCGUUCCGCGGUCUUCGCAACAGCGAGUUCCUCUCGCUUAAAGCGUUGCGUCGGCGUGGGCUGCGGCUCUUCCGCAAGGCGGGUUCGCGGGGGCCGGAUCAAACGGGACGUUUGAGUAGCGGGCCUUCUUCCGAGCGGUGUCUGUAGCCUUCUCCCAGGGUUUUCUCCGCUGCGGUCGCCUCUCCUCGCGUCUUCUCUCUCUCUUCGCUCGUCUCACCGUUACCUUUCCCUGUCGUCUCGUUUAGCAUUCCAAACCGAGUUCGUUUACGCCGUCGGGCGGGUUUAUCACAACCCGUUCCGUACGGGUCGGCGUCUCGGGCGGCGAGGUCGGGGGUUGGGGCCCGGCGGGAUUUCAAAAAGGGCGAAAGAGGAAGGACGGAGUGAAGCGCGCCGCGUUACGCGGGUUCUCCCGUUAUAAAGGUUAAUGGUUUACGGCCGCGAUCGGGGUCGGUCGUCUCGCCUCUUUCGUCUCCCGGCUCCGUCUUUGCACCGUCGGUCGUGGCUCAGCCCCGUCGUCGUUUCGCUGGGAGGUUCCUUCGUACGCGUGGGGCCCGGUUCGAGAAACGUCUCAUCGGUUUCUCCUCUCGGGUAGAUCCCGCUGUUCGGGGCGGGGGGAAAAAAAACCUCUCGGCGGCGUUUUUUGCUCCUGGCGAGUAAGCGCGCCCGGUGGUUCACUGCCCGGCUCCGUAUUUCGAACAGCCGUCGGCUCUCACGGGGUGCUCUUUACCGAGUGUCCCGCGUGGCCGGCAAGUUCACUUUGAAAAAAUUAGAGUGCUCAAAGCAGGCUAAAAUAUUUACGCCUGAAUGGUAGUGCAUGGAAUGAUGGAACAGGACCUCGGUCCUGCCUUUUUCAGCCCGGUUUUUCGGAACCGAGGUAAUGAUUAACGGGAACAGACGGGGGCAUUAGUAUUGCGGCGCGAGAGGUGAAAUUCUUGGACCGUCGCAAGACUAACUACUGCGAAAGCAUUUGCCAAGAAUGUUUUCAUUAAUCAAGAACGAAAGUUAGAGGAUCGAAGGCGAUCAGAUACCGCCCUAGUUCUAACCAUAAACGAUGCUAACUGGCGAUCCGUCGGCGUCAUUCCCACGACUCGGCGGGGAGCCCCCGGGAAACCAAAGUCUUUGAGUUCCGGGGGAAGUAUGGUUGCAAAGCUGAAACUUAAAGGAAUUGACGGAAGGGCACCACCAGGAGUGGAGCCUGCGGCUUAAUUUGACUCAACACGGGGAACCUCACCAGGCCCAGACACUGGAAGGAUUGACAGAUUGAGAGCUCUUUCUCGAUUCGGUGGUUGGUGGUGCAUGGCCGUUCUUAGUUGGUGGAGCGAUCUGUCUGGUUGAUUCCGAUAACGAACGAGACUCUACCCUGCUAACUAGUCGGCGGAUCGACUCCCGAGACGGGUUUCCUUCCGCGGGGUUUUCGGGCGGGGGUUGCCUCGGCUCGUCGUCGUUCCCUAGCAGCCUUGCUGCGUUCGCGGUAGCGCGCGCGUCGUUCUUCCGUCUUCUCGGGUGCCGGGGUGGAGGAGGCUUCGCGCCUUUCUCUUUCCCCGUCUCGGGGAGCGGGCGGCGGCGUUGUCGUCGUUCCGUCGCGUAGUAUCGUCUGCUUGGGGCUGAAGCGGCGGCGGUGUCCUAGGUCCUCGUCUUGCCUCGCGUGUCGGGGCUCAGCGAGGGGCGUCCGUCGCAAUAUCUUCUUAGAGGGAUCGGCGGCGUCCAGCCGCAAGAGAGAGAGCAAUAACAGGUCUGUGAUGCCCUUAGAUGUUCUGGGCCGCACGCGCGCUACAAUGUAGGGAUCAACGUGCUCUCCCCCUCCGAAAGGAGCGGGUAACCCGUUGAAACCCCUACUCGAUUGGGAUUGGGGAUUGUAAGUGUUUCCCAUGAACGAGGAAUUCCCAGUAAGCGCAAGUCAUCAGCUUGCGCUGAUUACGUCCCUGCCCUUUGUACACACCGCCCGUCGCUACUACCGAUUGAAUGAUUCAGUGAGGGCAUCGGACUGGCGCCUUCGGUAGCCGUCGGCUCGCAUUCCAAACUCCGCUUCGGCGGGGGCGGCCGCCGGCACCCUAGGCUGACGGAAAGAUGUCCGAACUUGAUCAUUUAGAGGAAGUAAAAGUCGUAACAAGGUUUCCGUAGGUGAACCUGCGGAAGGAUCA